This is an RNA transcript of Mercurialis annua (annual mercury), 2087 nucleotides long. RefSeq lists it as uncharacterized. The record is from RefSeq and is a predicted model, not a curated record. The transcript has 12 exons. NCBI's taxonomy places the organism in Eukaryota, Viridiplantae, Streptophyta, Magnoliopsida, Malpighiales, Euphorbiaceae.
AUUCUCUUUGGUGUCCCGAAGUAGCAAAGUUUAGGACAUGGUAUGCAUUUCAUAUUUUUCACUCUUGCAUUUGCUCCACAGGCAAAAAAAAGAGACUAUAAAACAGUGCGAUUCCUUUAACAAGUUUGCAUCACACUCCAAAAUGGAGUGUACGGCGUUUUCUUCGACGUCAAAUUCUAGGGUUUUCAAUUCAAUCACUAAACUUCCAAGCUUAACACCUCAAUUCCCCAAAUCAAUACGUUACAACUCUUCGUUUCGUGUUUCUGAUUUCUCAUGCAAAUCUACCUUUAAGAGACUCACUGCUCAUGCUAAGAUGGCUGUUACUGCGGCAAGUGAUGCGGAGUUACCAAAUUUAACGGCGUUAUCCCCCUUGGAUUGUCGGUAUUGGGAUAAAGUGAAGGAGUUGUCUCCUUAUUUGAGUGAAUUUGGGCUAAUGUAUUAUAGAGUUCUUGUUGAGGUCAAAUGGUUGUUGAAGCUUUCACAAAUUCCUGAAGUCACUCAAGUUCCCAACUUCACAGAAGAAACUCAGUCUUAUUUGCAAGGAUUGGUUGAUGGAUUUAGCAAGGAUGACGCUUUGGAAAUUAAAAAAAUUGAGGAUGUGACAAACCAUGAUGUAAAAGCAGUUGAAUACUUCUUAAAAAAGAAGUGCCCAGUGCAUCCAGAGAUAGCUAAGGUGCUUGAAUUUUUCCGCUUCGCUUGCACAUCCGAGGAUAUCAACAAUCUUGCCUAUGGUUUCAUGCUGAAAGAUUCAAUGAACAAGGUCAUCUUUCCUCUGAUUGAUGAAUUAAUUAAAGCAAUAUGUAACAUGGCUGAAGAAUAUGCUUCCACUCCAAUGCUUUCUCGCACUCAUGGACAGGCAGCUUCGCCUACAACUUUGGGAAAGGAAAUGGCAGUUUUUGUUUCUAGGUUACGCAAACAACGGAAGAAAAUGGCUCAAGUUGAGAUAAUGGGAAAAUUUGCUGGUGCAGUUGGAAAUUAUAGUGCAGAUCUUGUUGCAUAUCCUGAAGUUAACUGGCCUUCAAUUGCCAAAGAGUUUGUGGAAUCGCUAGGGUUGCGCUUUAAUCCAUUAGUCACUCAGAUUGAACAACACGACUAUAUUGCAGAACUUUUUCAUGCAAUUAUCAGAUUUAACACUAUCUUGAUAGGUUUUGAUGAAGACUUAUGGGGAUAUAUAUCCUUAGCCUAUUUUAAGCAGAUAAUUAAAGCUGGUGAGAUUGGGUCGUCAACUAUGCCUCACAAAGUAAAUCCUAUAGAUUUUGAAAAUAGUGAAGGUAACCUUGGAGUCGCCAAUGGAAAUUUAUCUCAUCUCAGUGAGAAGUUGCUUAUUUCACGUUGGCAGCGGGACUUGACUGAUUCAACUGCUUUGAGGAGUAUGGCCGAUGGUUUGGGACGUUCUCUUUUAGCUUACAAAAGUGCAUUGAAGGGAAUAGGGAUGCUACAGGUGAAUGAAAGUCGUUUGAGUGAAGACUUGAAUAAUUCAUGGGAAGUGCUUGCGGAACCAAUCCAAACUGUUAUGCGGCAAUAUGGCGUUCCAGAGCCUUACGAGAAGCUGAAAGAGCUGACGAGGGGAAGAGAUGUUACCAAAGAAAGUAUAAGAGAAUUCAUCGAAGGCUUGGAAUUGCCAGAAGAAAUAAAAGCUCAUCUAUUGGAGUUGACUCCACAUAACUACAUUGGAGCAGCCGAGAGCAUCACCAUGAAUUUCAUAAACGGGAGGAAAGCUCUGUGAAGCAAUGGUUACAAGUUGCCCAGAGACGGUAUUCUUAUAGCAGAGGAUGCGACCGGGUAGUUUGCGUUAAAAGAAAGUUAUUGAAACAGAUCACAUGACAUUUUAGUUUUAUUCUCUUUGGUGUCCCGAAGUAGCAAAGUUUGGGACAUGGUAUGCAUUUCAUAUAUUUCACUCUUGCAUUUGCUCCACAAGCAAAAAAAAGUAAGUUUGCAUAAACAGCUUACUGAGUCAUUUGUGGAGGUAAAUCUUUUUACAUUUUUUACUUCUCAUACUGUAAAAUACAGUAAGGUGUGAACAACUUUGUAAUGUCACUAUGUAGAAAUAUCUGUGCAACUUCAAAUUAAGUUCUUGUACUUAUCCA